UGGGGAAUAUUGCACAAUGGGCGCAAGCCUGAUGCAGCCAUGCCGCGUGUGUGAAGAAGGCCUUCGGGUUGUAAAGCACUUUCAGCGGGGAGGAAGGCGAUAAGGUUAAUAACCUCAUCGAUUGACGUUACCCGCAGAAGAAGCACCGGCUAACUCCGUGCCAGCAGCCGCGGUAAUACGGAGGGUGCAAGCGUUAAUCGGAAUUACUGGGCGUAAAGCGCACGCAGGCGGUCUGUCAAGUCGGAUGUGAAAUCCCCGGGCUCAACCUGGGAACUGCAUUCGAAACUGGCAGGCUAGAGUCUUGUAGAGGGGGGUAGAAAUCCAGGUGUAGCGGUGAAAUGCGUAGAGGUCUGGAGGAAUACCGGUGGCGAAGGCGGCCCCCUGGACAAAGACUGACGCUCAGGUGCGAAAGCGUGGGGAGCAAACAGG
RNAcentral lists this ribosomal RNA (429 nucleotides) under Chloroflexota bacterium. RNAcentral's name for it is "Chloroflexi bacterium partial 16S ribosomal RNA". It matches the Rfam family "Bacterial small subunit ribosomal RNA", at positions 355 to 776 of the family's 1533-position model. The record is from RNAcentral. Lineage: Bacteria; Bacillati; Chloroflexota.